Molecule: long non-coding RNA, 276 nt
Filed under: Setaria viridis
Lineage: Eukaryota; Viridiplantae; Streptophyta; Magnoliopsida; Poales; Poaceae
Description: long non-coding RNA (SVIR_LNC009723)
Source: RNAcentral
GGGGGGGGAGAUAGACAGAGAGGCUAGUGAGAGUGCUAAGGAAAAUAUAUAUAAGGCUGAGCGGAGAGGGUAAACAUAAGAUUGAGGGUAGUAGGAUUGGCCAUACCUUUCCUCCGCACUUGCUCCUUCGAUUAUGCUAUGGUUAUUUUUUUCACUCGUGGUGUCUUUUUUUAUUUCCAAGGAUAGUCCUUAAAAUACCAUUCUUGUGUGAUUUCCAAGGCCAGCCCUUAAAAGCCUGUCCUUGCAUGAUUUCAAGGACCUAUAUCUAGGGCCAUU